This 2487-nucleotide long non-coding RNA is filed under the name Marmota monax (woodchuck). Lineage: Eukaryota; Metazoa; Chordata; Mammalia; Rodentia; Sciuridae. The record is from RNAcentral.
GUGAGCUGUCACGUCGUGGCGUGAGGUUCUUCCGCCACUUGAGUGCUGGUGGGCGGAGUUAGGUGCCAAAAAAUCCCUGGGACUGGACGAUUUAGUCGCUGCUCAUUUAGGCAGGUGGUAGGUUUCCCAAUGAGCUAUGCUUCAUUGUAUCUACUUUAAAUAAAAAGAUUGAUGCAUAUUAAAGUAAUUAGUUUGAGCUGGGUGUGGUAGUGCACGCCUGAAAUCCCCCCGACUCAGGAGGCCAAGGCAAGAGAAUCACAGGUUCGAGGUCAGCCUCAGUAAUUUAGCAAGUCCUUGCCUCAAAAAGGACUGGCGAUGUAGUUCAGUGGUAAAGUGCUUCUAGAUUAAAAAAUAAUAAUAAAUAAAAAAAUUUUUUUGAGCGUGCUGUACCUAUGCCCAAUCCUAAAUUUUAAAUUUCAGUAAGUUUAAACCUAAAUUGUCAUUUCUCCGUGCCUGAGAAUGAACCCUUGAACCGUAACAUGGAAGGCCAGAGUUCCUAGGGUCUACUUCAAAGCCCUACACCCGAUGACUGGGGGUAUCCGUAGCUCAGCGGUAGAUCCCUUGCCUACCAUGUGCUAGGACCGGGGUUCGAUCACCAACAUCGCAAAACAAAACUAAAAAUCCUUUGCCCAAGUCUACAAUGAAGGCAGCCUUUAUUCAUUCGAAAUGAGUUGAACAUUAAUCUAGAUGCCUUGCACACAAGAGUAAUUAAACUACUUGUUGCUCUCAAAGAGUUGAGGCUUGGCUAGAAUAUGGGAUCCUCCUGCCUCAGCCUCCUGAAUUGUGAGUCGCUGGGAUUACAGGUGUGUGCCACCUCGCCUGUCGUUUAAUCCCAAAGUCUCACUCUUUCUGCUCUAGGCACCAGCACUGGGACUCUUCCCAACUCCUCCCUCCCAAACACAAACACGCCUAACUAUGAGAGUCUCUCUUACUCUUUGGGAAAUAUUGUCACCUCUGCCUCAGUCAAAUGUGUUAGGUUCCUCUCAUGGGUGCCUGCCCAGAAAUUUACUCUCUUCUUUUUCUAAGCUUGCUGAAUUCUGUCUUCCUGCUAACGUAAAUUCCCUAAUGGCUGGGGCCUUGACACUUAUUCCCUCCUGUGGUACCAGCAUAAGGUAGGCAGUCAGUUGAAUAUUUGUAAGGUGAAUGGAUCCAAAUGGUAUUUUAAGGACCUUCUCAUUUCCCUGGUACCAUAACAGUGCAGUUUUUUUAUCUGCACCACUUGUGAGGCACCAGCUCUCCAGCCUCUCUGUGGGUCUCUAACUGCUCCCCAUCCCUUCCUCCUCCCACACCCAAAUUCUAAGUUUUAGCAGGUUCAAGUCCUUUUUCCACAACAAGCGUUGUCCUUAUUCAACUCUGCCUGCCUGAGUACUAUUUCUACACACAGAAUUCCCUUCUGGUUCUCUGCUUUCUCAUUUCAAGCUCAGGUGUCAGUUCUUUCAAAUGUUUCUUGUUUUGACUCCUUCCUCCAGGCCUCCAAAGCACUAUGUUUUUGUACAUUUGUUUCUCUUGGAGUCUGGUAUCAUGAAGGGCAUUUCUCUAUUCCUCUAUCCCUCUAUCAGCUCAGUGGCUAGCACCCACGCACUCACUAAAUUGGUAAUUGCCCUCUUAGUGUAUGCGAUUUAAAAAUUAGAAAAGAGAGCUGGGCACAGUGGCUCACGCCUAUAAUCCCAGCUACUCACGAGGCUAAGGCAGGAGUAUUGCAAGUUUGAGUCCAGCCUCAGCAACUUAAUGAUGAUUUAAGCAAUUUAGAGAGACCCUGUCUCAAAAAUAAAAAGCACUGGGGGGGUGUAGCCCAGUGACACAGCACCCCUGGUUCAAUCCCCAGUAAUAACAACAACCGAAUUAGCUGAGGGGCAUACACCUGUAGUCCCAACUACUUGGGAGUCUCAGGCAGGAGGAUUGCUUGAGCCCUGGAGUUUAGAGCCAUCCUGGGUGUCAUAGCUUAAAAAAGGAAUAAUAAUAAUAUGCUACAAUGAUUGACAAGACAUGUUGUUAAGAAAGCGAAGUUCCUAGGCUGGGACUGGGGCUCAGCGGUAGAGCGCUCGCCUAGCACAUGUGAGGCACUGGGUUCGAUCCUCAGCACCACAUAAAAAAAAAAAAUGAAAUAAAAAUAUUGUGUGUCCACCUACAACUAAAAAAUAAAUAUUAAAAAAAAAGCAAAGUUCUGGGCUAGCUUUUGUAUAAGAAAGGAGAAAAAAGAAAGCAGAUGGAUAUGCCAGGUUUUUACAAAGAAAAAUACAGAAAGAAUAGACCAAAAAUGAGUCCAGUGAGUUACUUAUGGGGAGAGGGGGAAGUGAGGAUUUCUUGGGUUACAGUCUUGUUAAAGGAAGCUAUAGAGCUCCGACUGGGGCAGGGAGACACUGCUUUCAGUAGAUCUUUCUAUGGAGUUUUUACUUCAAAUCGUGUUAACAUAUUCCAAAAUAUUCCACAAGUUAAAAUCAACAAGGGUGGGGUUAAGUACUUUAGAAAUGGAAUGCAUAUAUAAAC